GGUCGAUUGGUCUAGUUGGUCAUGACGUGGGUAAGUUUCUCCACGCCAAACGAAAAAUCUGUUCCGGAGGUUGUCUCUAACGGUUCCACUAUAGGUCUCAUAGAUUGUGCUAUGAUCACCUCGCUGAGGUGAGCGAUCCCAAGGUCACCAGUUCGAUCCUGGUAUCGACCA
Non-coding RNA from Phyllosticta citrichinensis, 171 nucleotides. NCBI's taxonomy places the organism in Eukaryota, Fungi, Ascomycota, Dothideomycetes, Botryosphaeriales, Phyllostictaceae. The record is from the annotation of a GenBank genome assembly.